RNAcentral lists this long non-coding RNA (1353 nucleotides) under Cricetulus griseus (Chinese hamster). RNAcentral's name for it is "lncRNA (ENSCGRG00015038153.1)". The record is from RNAcentral. Lineage: Eukaryota; Metazoa; Chordata; Mammalia; Rodentia; Cricetidae.
GCCAGUAUACGCUAUAUAUAAACUGUUUCAAAAAUCCCAUAAAUAAAUGAAUGUUUUUGAAACAUUCAUAUCCCUAUGAUUUCUGUUGAAAUGUGAGAGACCUGUGUAGAUAGAUGCCCCUAGGGCUUCAUUUUUUACCUGUUGGGGCAAAUGAAGGAAUCAAGUCUGACCUGAAUGAGAUGAUUGCAAUACUCAGGCCUGACUGAAUUGGACAACCAAUUCUUAGGAGGAAUUUAGCAAACAUUGGUGGUGCUAAACAGGCUUUUCUUGCUCUCAAAGUGUUUUUCUUAACUCUUCGAUUAGGACUUGACCAAGACCUGACAGACAGGUCCUGAGCUCUGGUGACACAUAGACACCUGACUCCUUGGUAUCAGUUUAGGAGGUCCCUCACUUCCUGGGGAGCAGUAAAUAAGGCUUCUCCCUCUAUAAACAAGCUGCUUGGGUUAAGGAAAGCACCCUUAAGCACCUGUUACUGUUUCCAAACUUCCCUAGCCAUGCCCACAUCCAAACCUCUAAGCCUCAGAACCCUCACCACAAUACUGCAAAUAAACUGAUUUUAUUUAUUCCUAAUAGGCAGAUACUUAAUAUCCACUUCCUCCCAUCACUGACUAGUGUCACUUGUGUUCUGAUGUUCUGGACCUAGUAAUAUUUACCUUGUCUUUUUUCUGUUGAAGAAGCUGCCAAAUCCUUGGGAGGAGAAGGACACCGAGGGGGGGGCAUUUAAAAGUCUCCCUAAAAGAAACUACAAAGCUAACAGUCUCUGAGGUCCAGAGUCUUCGUGGGACUAUCCAGGAAAAGAUGACAAAAAUCUCUUCACAUGAUUGUCCAGGAAAAGCUUUUCUUGAGUCCCACUGUGAACACAAAGUUGUGCCCAUGAUCCUGCUGUGGUGUCUUCCCAGAAGAGUGGAGCUCAAGGGAGACUGGGAAUGGAAGAAGCAAGAAGUUCUGACAAUACCAAUUGUUUAGGUCUAGGAUCCAUUGAGGUAGCCUGGUGGAUAAAAGGAAGCCUAACAAUGUGAGUUAAUCCUCAGGACCCACAUGGUGGAAGGAGAGAACCAGCUCUCACGAGUUAUCCUCUUCACAUAAGCUCUGAAACAUGUGAAACAUGCGGAACACGUGCCCCUUCCCCCCACCGCUGCUGUCCCACCACCACACAGCACCCUUGUAGGAGACAGACACGGCAGACUGACACAGCUGUUGUGACCACACUCCCCAUGCCUGGCUGAGGGCCAUUUGAGUCUGGAGAUGAAGAGCAUUGUGGAGAAAUUUUUCUCUGCAGAAAAGUUCCCAAGUCAAUACUGCCAGCUUUCCCCUUGGUCCCCCACCCUCACCCCUUGGAGCUGAGGCCUGAAC